GACGAACGCUGGCGGCGUGCCUAAUACAUGCAAGUCGAACGCUUUUUCUUUCACCGGAGCUUGCUCCACCGAAAGAAAAAGAGUGGCGAACGGGUGAGUAACACGUGGGUAACCUGCCCAUCAGAAGGGGAUAACACUUGGAAACAGGUGCUAAUACCGUAUAACACUAUUUUCCGCAUGGAAGAAAGUUGAAAGGCGCUUUUGCGUCACUGAUGGAUGGACCCGCGGUGCAUUCGCUAGCUGGUGAGGUAACGGCUCACCAAGGCAACGAUGAAUAGCCGACCUGAGAGGGUGAUCGGCCACACUGGGACUGAGACACGGCCCAGACUCCUACGGGAGGCAGCAGUAGGGAAUCUUCGGCAAUGGACGAAAGUCUGACCGAGCAACGCCGCGUGAGUGAAGAAGGUUUUCGGAUCGUAAAACUCUGUUGUUAGAGAAGAACAAGGAUGAGAGUAAAAUGUUCAUCCCUUGACGGUAUCUAACCAGAAAGCCACGGCUAACUACGUGCCAGCCGCCGCCGUAA
RNAcentral lists this ribosomal RNA (523 nucleotides) under uncultured bacterium. Its description in RNAcentral is "partial 16S ribosomal RNA". It matches the Rfam family "Bacterial small subunit ribosomal RNA", at positions 28 to 523 of the family's 1533-position model. The record is from RNAcentral.